Molecule: ribosomal RNA, 458 nt
Filed under: Escherichia coli
Lineage: Bacteria; Pseudomonadati; Pseudomonadota; Gammaproteobacteria; Enterobacterales; Enterobacteriaceae
Description: bacterial LSU rRNA
Rfam family: Bacterial large subunit ribosomal RNA
Source: RNAcentral
UAAGUAACGAUAAAGCGGGUGAAAAGCCCGCUCGCCGGAAGACCAAGGGUUCCUGUCCAACGUUAAUCGGGGCAGGGUGAGUCGACCCCUAAGGCGAGGCCGAAAGGCGUAGUCGAUGGGAAACAGGUUAAUAUUCCUGUACUUGGUGUUACUGCGAAGGGGGGACGGAGAAGGCUAUGUUGGCCGGGCGACGGUUGUCCCGGUUUAAGCGUGUAGGCUGGUUUUCCAGGCAAAUCCGGAAAAUCAAGGCUGAGGCGUGAUGACGAGGCACUACGGUGCUGAAGCAACAAAUGCCCUGCUUCCAGGAAAAGCCUCUAAGCAUCAGGUAACAUCAAAUCGUACCCCAAACCGACACAGGUGGUCAGGUAGAGAAUACCAAGGCGCUUGAGAGAACUCGGGUGAAGGAACUAGGCAAAAUGGUGCCGUAACUUCGGGAGAAGGCACGCUGAUAUGUAGGU